GAUCAUGGCUCAGGAUGAACGCUAGCUACAGGCUUAACACAUGCAAGCCGAGGGGCAGCAUGGUCUUAGCUUGCUAAGGCCGAUGGCGACCGGCGCACGGGUGAGUAACACGUAUCCAACCUGCCGUCUACUCUUGGACAGCCUUCUGAAAGGAAGAUUAAUGCAGGAUGGCAUCAUGAGUCCGCAUGUUCACAUGAUUAAAGGUAUUCCGGUAGACGA
RNAcentral lists this ribosomal RNA (219 nucleotides) under uncultured bacterium. Its description in RNAcentral is "partial 16S ribosomal RNA". It matches the Rfam family "Bacterial small subunit ribosomal RNA", at positions 15 to 225 of the family's 1533-position model. The record is from RNAcentral.